RNAcentral lists this ribosomal RNA (886 nucleotides) under Pseudobacillus wudalianchiensis. RNAcentral describes it as "bacterial SSU rRNA". It matches the Rfam family "Bacterial small subunit ribosomal RNA", at positions 1 to 872 of the family's 1533-position model. Lineage: Bacteria; Bacillati; Bacillota; Bacilli; Caryophanales; Bacillaceae. The record is from RNAcentral.
UUUUUUUUUCUGCUCAGAGACGAACGCGCGGCGGGCGUGCCUAAUAACAUGCAAGUCGAGGCGGACUAGACGGAAGCUUGCUCUGUUCAAGUUAGCGGCGGACGGGUGAGUAACACGUGGGUAACCUGCCUGUAAGACUGGGAUAACUCCGGGAAACCGGGGCUAAUACCGGAUAUUCUUUCUUCUCCGCAUGGAGAAGAAUGGAAAGGCGGCUUCGGCUGUCACUUACAGAUGGACCCGCGGCGCAUUAGCUAGUUGGUGGGGUAACGGCCCACCAAGGCGACGAUGCGUAGCCGACCUGAGAGGGUGAUCGGCCACACUGGGACUGAGACACGGCCCAGACUCCUACGGGAGGCAGCAGUAGGGAAUCUUCCGCAAUGGACGAAAGUCUGACGGAGCAACGCCGCGUGAGUGAAGAAGGUUUUCGGAUCGUAAAGCUCUGUUGUUAGGGAAGAACAAGUACGGGAGUAACUGUCCGUACCUUGACGGUACCUAACCAGAAAGCCACGGCUAACUACGUGCCAGCAGCCGCGGUAAUACGUAGGUGGCAAGCGUUGUCCGGAAUUAUUGGGCGUAAAGCGCGCGCAGGCGGCUUCUUAAGUCUGAUGUGAAAGCCCACGGCUCAACCGUGGAGGGUCAUUGGAAACUGGGAGGCUUGAGUGCAGAAGAGGAGAGCGGAAUUCCACGUGUAGCGGUGAAAUGCGUAGAGAUGUGGAGGAACACCAGUGGCGAAGGCGGCUCUCUGGUCUGUAACUGACGCUGAGGCGCGAAAGCGUGGGGAGCGAACAGGAUUAGAUACCCUGGUAGUCCACGCCGUAAACGAUGAGUGCUAAGUGUUGGAGGGUUUCCGCCCUUCAGUGCUGCAGCUAACGCAUAAGCACUCCGC